Molecule: ribosomal RNA, 450 nt
Filed under: uncultured bacterium
Lineage: Bacteria
Description: partial 16S ribosomal RNA
Rfam family: Bacterial small subunit ribosomal RNA
Source: RNAcentral
GUGGGGAAUUUUGGACAAUGGGCGCAAGCCUGAUCCAGCAAUGCCGCGUGCAGGAAGAAGGCCUUCGGGUUGUAAACUGCUUUUGUACGGAACGAAACGGUCCGGGUUAAUACCCUGGGCUAAUGACGGUACCGUAAGAAUAAGCACCGGCUAACUACGUGCCAGCAGCCGCGGUAAUACGUAGGGUGCAAGCGUUAAUCGGAAUUACUGGGCGUAAAGCGUGCGCAGGCGGUUUUGUAAGACAGGCGUGAAAUCCCCGGGCUCAACCUGGGAAUUGCGCUUGUGACUGCGAGGCUGGAGUGCGGCAGAGGGGGAUGGAAUUCCGCGUGUAGCAGUGAAAUGCGUAGAUAUGCGGAGGAACACCGAUGGCGAAGGCAAUCCCCUGGGCCCGCACUGACGCUCAUGCACGAAAGCGUGGGGAGCAAACAGGAUUAGAAACCCCGGUAGUCC